Molecule: transfer RNA, 111 nt
Filed under: Candidatus Bathyarchaeota archaeon
Lineage: Archaea; Thermoproteati; Candidatus Bathyarchaeota
Also listed under: 1 other name
Description: tRNA-Leu
Rfam family: tRNA
About the family: Transfer RNA (tRNA) molecules are approximately 80 nucleotides in length. Their secondary structure includes four short double-helical elements and three loops (D, anti-codon, and T loops).
Source: RNAcentral
GCGGGGGUUGCCAAGCCAGGUCAAAGAACGAACAAAGGGUCGCUUGAACGCGCAGGGCUUAGGACCCUGUCCCGUAGGGGUUCGUGGGUUCGAAUCCCACCCCCCGCACCA